AACGAACGCUGGCGGCAUGCCUAACACAUGCAAGUCGAACGAUUGCCUUCGGGUGAUAGUGGCGCACGGGUGCGUAACGCGUGGGAAUCUGCCCUUAGGUUCGGAAUAACAGCUGGAAACGGCUGCUAAUACCGGAUGAUAUCGCGAGAUCAAAGAUUUAUCGCCUGAGGAUGAGCCCGCGUUGGAUUAGGUAGUUGGUGGGGUAAAGGCCUACCAAGCCGACGAUCCAUAGCUGGUCUGAGGGGAUGAUCAGCCACACUGGGACUGAGACACGGCCCAGACUCCUACGGGAUGCAGCAGUGGGGAAUAUUGGACAAUGGGCGCAAGCCUGAUCCAGCAAUGCCGCGUGAGUGAUGAAGGCCCUAGGGUUGUAAAGCUCUUUUACCCGGGAAGAUAAUGACUGUACCGGGAGAAUAAGCCCCGGCUAACUCCGUG
RNAcentral lists this ribosomal RNA (435 nucleotides) under uncultured bacterium. RNAcentral's name for it is "partial 16S ribosomal RNA". It matches the Rfam family "Bacterial small subunit ribosomal RNA", at positions 29 to 507 of the family's 1533-position model. The record is from RNAcentral.